Molecule: long non-coding RNA, 3880 nt
Organism: Meriones unguiculatus (Mongolian gerbil)
Lineage: Eukaryota; Metazoa; Chordata; Mammalia; Rodentia; Muridae
Exons: 14
Source: RefSeq, a predicted model, not a curated record
GAAUGAAAUGGAGGAUCCAACAUUCGCAAGGCCGACCAUUCCACUCUAUAAAAGCCUUGGCAGGAGGGGAGGAUGUGAAGAGACACAGAUAGAAAGUGUGUGACAUUCUAUCAGGCUCAUGCACUGAGUGGAUGUUCUUCUCAUCCUGAAGUAGCGUGGACUCUAGACAUGGAUUGAUCUACCUCAGUGAAGGUAUUGUAAUUAGAAAACAAGUGGAGAAGCUCUCUGCUUCUUGGCCAUGGAUGGAUACUAUAUGGCCAGUUCUCUUAAGCCACUGCCACUGUGACCUCCCAAUGAAACUGUAAGUAAAAAUUAACUCUAAUGAUUUUUUCCUAGUGACUCAUUUCAGCUCAAGAAGGAAUUAAACCCCAAACCACCACAGGAGCCUGAAGAUGACCUCACCAGCUGAGCCUUCAGGAAGGUAUCCUCUAUGGAUCACAAUUUAUAUUUCUUUUCUUUCUUUCUUUCUUUUUUUUUUCAAUGCCGUUUAUUCAGGAACCUUGAACAAUCAUUGGACCCUGGGGAAAGCCAGCCCACAGCUUAAAUAGCCUCUGGGUAGCCAACCCCAGCGUGCCACGUGGGCAAUGCAGAUAGGUCCACAUACAUGGAAGCAAGCCAGAUCCUCAGCCUUAGCCAAAUGUGGAGUUGUUUGUGACAGAGAGCACUCACCAUCGGGAAGGUGGAAGGCGGAAACCAGCUCCAUCUUUAAGGCACGGCAUUACGCAGCAUAUUUCUUAACAGAGAAAUAUUUCAGUGGUGCAUGAGUUAAAUAUUUGAGAUCAGUAUUGAUAUUAAGUGUUUCAGCCUCUAAAAAACUGAAGAAGAGGUCAAGAUAGAGAGUUUAGGGGGCAUCAGAGGAAGUAGGAGGCAGAGGAAGGGGUAGAUUCAAUGUAAAUAUAGUACCCAUUCAUGAAAUCUUAAUUAAUUAAUUAAAUAAUUAAAUGUAUCAGAAAGUUACAGAAUACUGCUUAAACAAAGUUCACUGUGCAUUGCCAUGUAACUUUUUAUUUCAAUUCUUUUUUCCUUGAUUGCUCUUAUAAAAGAUAUUUUACAAAUUUACUUAUACACUUAGCUGUAUGCCUCCUUAGUGUUCUGAAGUCUAUCUCAAGAGGUGAGAGAGCUAAGAGAGAGAAGGAAAGCUGAGGUGGGGUGCAUCUCUUGGACAAACUAGAGACCUGCGACAGGUUAGACUCCUGGAAGUAUAUGGGGUAACUCUAGCAGAGAUUCCUAGUAGCAGGGAUCAUGGAGAAUGAAGUACCCACCUCCUAGCCAGACAGGACUUCUAGUGGAAGGAGGGGGACACCAACUCAUGUACAAAACUUUUGACCCCAAAUUUACCCUUCCUGUAAGAUGUGUGGGAUAAAGAUGAAGCAGAGAUUGAGGGAAUGUCUAACCUAUGGCUACCCCAUCCUGAGACCCAUCCCAUAGGACAGAGACAGUACUAAUGAUACUUUGCAAUGCUUGCAGACAGAAGCCUAGUGUAACUGCCCUCUGAGAGGCUACACCCAGCAGCAGAUCAAAACAGAUUAUGAGACCUACAGCCAAACAUUGAGUGAAGCUCGAGGAAUCUUGUGGAAGGGUGAGGGGAAGAAUAGGAGGACACACAGGUGACAAGAACUACACAAGAAGAGCAACAGAGUCAACAAACCUAGGCCCAUGGGAGACUGGAGCACCAACCAAAGAACAUACAUGGAUUGGACCUAGGUUCCGAAUACAGUCUCACCAUGCUGGUGAUGUUGAUCUCAGAUUCUGAGGAGGUGCUUCUUGACUGCAUUCUGAGGAGCCUCUACUAAAGACAGAGACCCUACACCUAGCUGGUGGUGAUCCAUUGCAAGGAAAGAACAUGAGGUCAGGACUGUUGGAUCAACUGACAAUUUUUUUUAAAGACACUCCAAGUACACAAUACUGAAUGUAUUUCUUUCUCUGAUAAUCCGAGAGCAGCAGAGAAUUUCAUUAUACAGUAUUACACAUUUAGCAUGAAAAGACCAUACUCAGAGUAGUUAUGAUUUAGAAACUGGGAUACUAAUAUCUUACUAGUUUCCAUCUUAUACGACACUUCCCUUUCAAUGUGAGUCUAGCAGAUGUAUAAAUUUUUCAGGUGAUAAUACUCUAACUAAGAAUUAUAUGGAGGGUAUUUAUACGCAGACAGUGUGGACAGAGAUGCCUAAUUAUGUAACUCAUGGGUUGUAUUUGACUUUCUUUAAGGAGCUGUGCACUAAAGAAUAGUUGAAAAGAAUGGAUAAUUUGAUGGACCACGAUGAGGAAGAUUGAGGAAGCAGAGAAAUGACAUCAGUUAAUGUUAUAUAGUAAGAGAGUGCGGAAGACAUACAAAAAUCAAGAUACAAGAUGGUAGAGGAUUUCAGGAGCAAGUCGUGAGUGUUCAGUCCCUACAAAUGACACUCUGAAAAAUCAAAAGAUAUAAUUUAACAAAACUAAGACACAUAUGAGAAACUAUCACAGAGGACCUCCUGUUCUUCAGAUAUUAAGAGGACGGUGUUUUGGAAUCAGUUACCUCCUACUACAAGGCUUGAAACUAAAAAUACAGUCAUCAAACAUGUGUGGCAAAGCAGCAGGAGCCAGAACCAUGAAAUCAAUCAUGAGUUGGGAAAUGAAGGAAAGCACUGUUGAAGAGCUAGCUUCUAUAGUCCCAUGAAUUCAUUUUGAAUGACCUGGAAGAGCAACUGAAGAACAUGUGCCUGGAAGGUGAUCAUAUCCUGCUGAUACUUAAGCUCUUACUGCACUGCUCACUGGGUUCUUAGUCUCAUCACUGAAGUCAACAAUAGCUCUGCUCAGUGUCGUGUGAAGCUUCCAACAGAUGCAGCCCACCACACUCUGCUAAUGAAAACCUGUUCCUUCUUCUGAACUCAGUGCUCCUGUAUCAAGGUUUGACAUUCCUGUCUCAGUCUUGGAUCCUGCACCAUUUGCAAGAAAAAUGAUUUUUCUUCAGGGUCUUACUGUCCUGCUCACUCGGUUGUCACACUCUUCACUGAAGCCAUGCUUUCUCUCAGUUCCAUGAGAAGUUCAAGCCAGAAUCUGGAAACAACGUAGAUGUCCCUCAACUGAGGAAUGGAUACAGAAAUUGUGGAACAUUUACACAAUGGAAUACUACUCAGCAAUUAAAAACAAGGAAAUCAUGAAAUUUGCAGGUAAAUGGUAGAAACUAGAAAAGAUCAUCUUGAGUGAGGCAAUUCAGAAGCAGAAAGACACACAUGGUAUAUACUCACUUAUAAGCGGAUUUUAGACAUAUGAUAUAGGGUAAGCAUACUAAAAUCUAUAGUCCUAAAGAAGCUAAACCACAAGAAAGACCCUAGAGAAGAUGCUCAGUCGUCGUUCUGAAGGGCAAAUAUGAUAGAAAUUGGAAGUAGGAGAAGACAGGGACCAGGACAGGAGCCUUCCACAGAGUGGCUCUGAAAGACACUAUUGAUUGAGGUAUCAAAGCAGAGGCUGACACUCAGAGCCAAACUUUGGGCAGACUUAAUGGAAUUUUAUCAAAGUAAGGGGAGAUAGAAAGACCUAGAGGGGACAGGACCUCCAUAAGGAGAUGAACAGAGCCAAAAAAACUAGGCCCAGGGGGCCUCAGAGACUGAUACCACAACCACAAGCCAUGCAUGGCAAGGAACUAAAACCCCUACUCAGAUGAAGCUCAUAGACUUAGUCUCAAAGUGAGUAUCCUAGUAAGGGGAGCAGGGCCUCUCUCUGGCAGGCUCUUUGAUCAUCUCCCCCUGGGGUGCACCCUUGCCAGACCACAGAGGGAGACAAUGCAACCAGUCCUGAUGAGAACUGAUAGGCUAGGGUCAGAUGGAGGGGGAGGAGGACCUCCCUAUCAGUGAACCAGGGAGAGAAGAGGAAGGGUGGGAUUGGGAGGAUACUAGGGAGGGAA